Molecule: non-coding RNA, 107 nt
Organism: Ustilago trichophora
Lineage: Eukaryota; Fungi; Basidiomycota; Ustilaginomycetes; Ustilaginales; Ustilaginaceae
Source: the annotation of a GenBank genome assembly
GGGCCAAUCGUAUAGUGGCUUAUUAUGCUGUCUUAGGGCGUUCACCUCGAUUCCUAGAGGUGGUUCUAAGUUGACAGAGGUCCCCGGUUCGAUUCCGGGUUGGCCCC